RNAcentral lists this ribosomal RNA (253 nucleotides) under uncultured bacterium. RNAcentral describes it as "partial 16S ribosomal RNA". It matches the Rfam family "Bacterial small subunit ribosomal RNA", at positions 524 to 776 of the family's 1533-position model. The record is from RNAcentral.
UACGAAGGGUGCAAACGUUGCUCGGAAUCAUUGGGCGUAAAGCGCACGUAGGCGGCUUCGCAAGUCGGAUGUGAAAUCCCGUGGCUCAACCAUGGACGUGCAUCCGAAACUGCGAGGCUUGAGUAUGGAAGAGGGUCGCGGAAUUCCAGGUGUAGCGGUGAAAUGCGUAGAUAUCUGGAAGAACACCGGUGGCGCAAGCGGAUUGCUGGGCCAUAACUGACACUGAGGAACGAAAGCUAGGGGAGCAAAUGGG